GAUGAACGCUGGCGGCGUGCCUAACACAUGCAAGUCGAGCGAACCCUUCGGGGUGAGCGGCGGACGGGUGAGUAACGCGUGGGUAACCUGCCCUGUACACACGGAUAACGUACCGAAAGGUACGCUAAUACGGGAUAAAGUUGUUGGAUGGCAUCUUCUAACAAUCAAAGCUCUGGCGGUAUAGGAUGGACCCGCGUCUGAUUAGCUAGUUGGUGAGGUAAUGGCUCAACAAGGCGACGAUCAGUAGCCGACCUGAGAGGGUGAUCGGCCACACUGGAACUGAGACACGGUCCAGACUCCUACGGGAGGCAGCAGUGGGGAAUAUUGCACAAUGGGCGAAAGCCUGAUGCAGCAACGCCGCGUGAGCGAUGAAGGUCUUCGGAUCGUAAAGCUCUGUCCUCAAGGAAGAUAAUGACGGUACUUGAGGAGGAAGCCCCGGCUAACUGCGUGCCAGCCGCCGCGGUAA
This 466-nucleotide ribosomal RNA is filed under the name uncultured bacterium. Its description in RNAcentral is "partial 16S ribosomal RNA". It matches the Rfam family "Bacterial small subunit ribosomal RNA", at positions 28 to 523 of the family's 1533-position model. The record is from RNAcentral.